This 888-nucleotide ribosomal RNA is filed under the name Harringtonia lauricola. RNAcentral describes it as "Raffaelea lauricola partial large subunit ribosomal RNA". It matches the Rfam family "Eukaryotic large subunit ribosomal RNA", at positions 35 to 946 of the family's 3401-position model. The record is from RNAcentral. Lineage: Eukaryota; Fungi; Ascomycota; Sordariomycetes; Ophiostomatales; Ophiostomataceae.
UAAGCAUAUCAAUAAGCGGAGGAAAAGAANCCAACAGGGAUUGCCCCAGUAACGGCGAGUGAAGCGGCAACAGCUCAAAUUUGAAAUCUGGCCCCCCGCGGGCCCGAGUUGUACUUUGGAGAGGACGCUUCUGGCGCGGCGCCGUCCGAGUUCCCUGGAACGGGACGCCGGAGAGGGUGAGAGCCCCGUACGGGCGGCCGCCUAGCCUCUGCGAAGCUCCUUCGACGAGUCGAGUAGUUUGGGAAUGCUGCUCAAAAUGGGAGGUAAAUUUCUUCUAAAGCUAAAUACCGGCCAGAGACCGAUAGCGCACAAGUAGAGUGAUCGAAAGAUGAAAAGCACUUUGAAAAGAGGGUCAAACAGUACGUGAAAUUGUUGAAAGGGAAGCGCCUGUGGCCAGACUUGCGCCCCGCGGACCACCCGGCGCCUCGCGCGCCGGGGCACGCCAGCGGGGCGCAGGCCAGCAUCGGCUCUCUCGGGGGGACAAAGGCCGCGGGAACGUAGCGCCCUCGCGGCGUAUUAUAGCCCGCGGCGCCAUGCCCCCGGGGGGGCCGAGGACCGCGCUCCGGCAAGGAUGCUGGCGUAAUGGCCACCGGCGACCCGUCUUGAAACACGGACCAAGGAGUCAAGCAUUGGGGCGAGUGUCUGGGUGGCAAGCCCGCACGCGGAAUGAAAGUGAACGCAGGUGGGAGCUUCGGCGCACCACCGACCGAUCCUGAUGUCCUCGGAUGGAUUUGAGUAGGAGCCCCGCCGCUUGGACCCGAAAGAUGGUGAACUAUGCCUGUAUAGGGUGAAGCCAGAGGAAACUCUGGUGGAGGCCCGCAGCGGUUCUGACGUGCAAAUCGAUCGUCAAAUAUGGGCAUGGGGGCGAAAGACUAAUCGAACCAUCUA